UGGGGAAUAUUGCACAAUGGAGGGAACUCUGAUGCAGCGACGCCGCGUGAACGAAGAAGGCUUUCGAGUCGUAAAGUUCUUUUAUAUGGGAAGAUAAUGACGGUGCCAUAAGAAAAAGCCCCGGCUAACUACGUGCCAGCAGCCGCGGUAAUACGUAGGGGGCUAGCGUUGUCCGGAAUCACUGGGCGUAAAGGGUUCGCAGGCGGAAAUGCAAGUCAGGUGUAAAAGGCAGUAGCUUAACUACUGUAAGCAUUUGAAACUGCAUAUCUUGAGAAGAGUAGAGGUAAGUGGAAUUUUUAGUGUAGCGGUGAAAUGCGUAGAUAUUAAAAAGAAUACCGGUGGCGAAGGCGGCUUACUGGGCUCAUUCUGACGCUGAGGAACGAAAGCGUGGGUAGCAAACAGG
Molecule: ribosomal RNA, 403 nt
Filed under: bacterium
Lineage: Bacteria
Description: partial 16S ribosomal RNA
Rfam family: Bacterial small subunit ribosomal RNA
Source: RNAcentral